GUAAUCGCGGAUCAGCAUGCCGCGGUGAAUACGUUCCCGGGCCUUGUACACACCGCCCGUCACACCAUGGGAGCCGGUAAUACCCGAAGUCAGUAGUCCAACCUCGUGAGGACGCUGCCGAAGGUAGGAUUGGCGACUGGGGUGAAGUCGUAACAAGGUAGC
RNAcentral lists this ribosomal RNA (162 nucleotides) under uncultured bacterium. RNAcentral describes it as "partial 16S ribosomal RNA". It matches the Rfam family "Bacterial small subunit ribosomal RNA", at positions 1338 to 1500 of the family's 1533-position model. The record is from RNAcentral.